RNAcentral lists this non-coding RNA (924 nucleotides) under Dendropsophus sarayacuensis (Shreve's Sarayacu treefrog). RNAcentral describes it as "partial 12S ribosomal RNA". It matches the Rfam family "Bacterial small subunit ribosomal RNA". The record is from RNAcentral. Lineage: Eukaryota; Metazoa; Chordata; Amphibia; Anura; Hylidae.
UGGUCCCAGCCUUAAGAUCAGUUGCUACUUAACUUACACAUGCGAGUCUCCGCACCCCUGUGAGAACGCCCUUUAACCCUUUAAGGGUCAAGGAGCUGGUAUCAGGCACAAAAAUUAGCCCAAGACACCUAGCUACUGCCACACCUACACUGGGAGCCCAGCAGUGAUUAACAUUAAAUAUAAGCGCCAGCUUGAAGCAGUUAAAGUAGAAAGAGCCGGCUAAUCUGGUGCCAGCCGCCGCGGUUACACCAUGUGGCUCAAACUGACCCUCUUCGGCGUAAAGCGUGAUUAAAGUCCCCCUUUACUGCAAUUAAACCAUAAUUAAGCCGUGACACGCUUAUUAUCAAGAAACCCAACAAACGAAAGUCAUUGCACUUCUAAACUUGAACUCACGACAGCUAGGAAACAAACUGGGAUUAGAUACCCCACUAUGCCUAGCCGUAAACUUUAAUUUACCCCCCCCCCCGCCAGGGAACUACGAGCAAAGCUUAAAACCCAAGGGACUUGACGGUACCCCAAAUCCACCUAGAGGAGCCUGUCCUGUGAUCGAUAACCCCCGCUUUACCUCACCACUUCUAGCCUCUCAGCCUGUAUACCUCCGUCGUCAGCUUACCCCGUGAGCGCUUAUUAGUGAGCUUAAUGCCUUACAUCAAUACGUCAGGUCAAGGUGCAGCAUAUGAAGUGGGAAGAGAUGGGCUACACUGUCUAUUUUAGACAAUACGAAAGACUUUAUGAAAUCUAGUCGGAAGGCGGAUUUAGAAGUAAAAGAAGAGUAGUGUGCUUUCUUUAACUCAGGCACUGGGGUGUGUACACACCAGCCCAGUCACCCUCUUCAAAGCUUUAAUAUAAGUUUUUAACACAAGUAAGCCCCCCAGAAGAGGCAAGUCGUAACAUGGUAAGUAUACCGGAAGGUGUGCUUGGAAA